This 925-nucleotide ribosomal RNA is filed under the name Kocuria sp. 1PNM-14. RNAcentral describes it as "bacterial SSU rRNA". It matches the Rfam family "Bacterial small subunit ribosomal RNA", at positions 50 to 983 of the family's 1533-position model. Lineage: Bacteria; Bacillati; Actinomycetota; Actinomycetes; Micrococcales; Micrococcaceae. The record is from RNAcentral.
UACACAUGCAAGUCGAACGAUGAUCUCCCGCUUGCGGGGGUGAUUAGUGGCGAACGGGUGAGUAAUACGUGAGUAACCUGCCCUUGACUCUGGGAUAAGCCUGGGAAACCGGGUCUAAUACUGGAUACGACCCCCUGUCGCAUGGUGGGGGGUGGAAAGGGUUUGACUGGUUUUGGAUGGGCUCACGGCCUAUCAGCUUGUUGGUGGGGUAAUGGCUCACCAAGGCGACGACGGGUAGCCGGCCUGAGAGGGUGACCGGCCACACUGGGACUGAGACACGGCCCAGACUCCUACGGGAGGCAGCAGUGGGGAAUAUUGCACAAUGGGCGGAAGCCUGAUGCAGCGACGCCGCGUGAGGGAUGACGGCCUUCGGGUUGUAAACCUCUUUCAGCAGGGAAGAAGCCACAAGUGACGGUACCUGCAGAAGAAGCGCCGGCUAACUACGUGCCAGCAGCCGCGGUAAUACGUAGGGCGCAAGCGUUGUCCGGAAUUAUUGGGCGUAAAGAGCUCGUAGGCGGUUUGUCGCGUCUGCUGUGAAAGCCCGGGGCUCAACCCCGGGUCUGCAGUGGGUACGGGCAGACUAGAGUGCAGUAGGGGAGACUGGAAUUCCUGGUGUAGCGGUGAAAUGCGCAGAUAUCAGGAGGAACACCGAUGGCGAAGGCAGGUCUCUGGGCUGUUACUGACGCUGAGGAGCGAAAGCAUGGGGAGCGAACAGGAUUAGAUACCCUGGUAGUCCAUGCCGUAAACGUUGGGCACUAGGUGUGGGGGACAUUCCACGUUCUCCGCGCCGUAGCUAACGCAUUAAGUGCCCCGCCUGGGGAGUACGGCCGCAAGGCUAAAACUCAAAGGAAUUGACGGGGGCCCGCACAAGCGGCGGAGCAUGCGGAUUAAUUCGAUGCAACGCGAAGAACCUUACCAAGGCUUG